ACAUAGGGGACGGAGGAAAAGCA
This 23-nucleotide non-coding RNA is filed under the name Cricetulus griseus (Chinese hamster). Lineage: Eukaryota; Metazoa; Chordata; Mammalia; Rodentia; Cricetidae. The record is from RNAcentral.